CCCUGGCUCAGGACGAACGCUGGCGGCGUGCCUAAUACAUGCAAGUCGAGCGGAUGAUGAAGAAGCUUGCUUCUUCUGAUUUAGCGGCGGACGGGUGAGUAACACGUGGGCAACCUGCCCUGUAGAUUGGGAUAACUCCGGGAAACCGGGGCUAAUACCGAAUAAUCCAUUUCCUCACAUGGGGAGAUGUUAAAAGACGGUUUCGGCUGUCACUACAGGAUGGGCCCGCGGCGCAUUAGCUAGUUGGUAAGGUAACGGCUUACCAAGGCGACGAUGCGUAGCCGACCUGAGAGGGUGAUCGGCCACACUGGGACUGAGACACGGCCCAGACUCCUACGGGAGGCAGCAGUAGGGAAUCUUCCACAAUGGACGAAAGUCUGAUGGAGCAACGCCGCGUGAGUGAAGAAGGUUUUCGGAUCGUAAAACUCUGUUGUAAGGGAAGAACAAGUACGAGAGUAACUGCUCGUACCUUGACGGUACCUUAUAGAAAGCCACGGC
RNAcentral lists this ribosomal RNA (498 nucleotides) under Pasteuriaceae bacterium CL2.67. RNAcentral's name for it is "bacterial SSU rRNA". It matches the Rfam family "Bacterial small subunit ribosomal RNA", at positions 17 to 497 of the family's 1533-position model. Lineage: Bacteria; Bacillati; Bacillota; Bacilli; Caryophanales; Pasteuriaceae. The record is from RNAcentral.